UAGGGAAUAUUGGACAAUGGGCGAAAGCCUGAUCCAGCAAUGCCGCGUGUGUGAAGAAGGUCUUCGGAUUGUAAAGCACUUUCGACGGGGACGGAUGAUGACGGUACCCGUAGAAGAAGCCCGGCUAACUUCGUGCCAG
Molecule: ribosomal RNA, 139 nt
Filed under: uncultured bacterium
Lineage: Bacteria
Description: partial 16S ribosomal RNA
Rfam family: Bacterial small subunit ribosomal RNA
Source: RNAcentral